AACGAACGCUGGCGGCAGGCCUAACACAUGCAAGUCGAACGCCCUAGCAAUAGGGAGUGGCGCACGGGUGCGUAACGCGUGGGAAUAUGCCCUUGACUACGGAACAACACAGGGAAACUUGUGCUAAUACCGUAUAAUGUCUCCGGACCAAAGAUUUAUCGGUCAAGGAUUAGCCCGCGUUAGAUUAGCUAGUUGGUGAGGUAAUGGCUCACCAAGGCUACGAUCUAUAGCUGGUCUGAGAGGAUGAUCAGCCACACUGGGACUGAGACACGGCCCAGACUCCUACGGGAGGCAGCAGUGAGGAAUAUUGGACAAUGGGGGGCAACCCUGAUCCAGCCAUGCCGCGUGAGUGAUGAAGGCCUUCGGGUUGUAAAACUCUUUUAGACGUGACGAUGAUGACGGUAACAUCAGAAAAAGACUCCGGCUAACUUCGUGCCAGCAGCCGCGGU
This 449-nucleotide ribosomal RNA is filed under the name uncultured bacterium. RNAcentral describes it as "bacterial SSU rRNA". It matches the Rfam family "Bacterial small subunit ribosomal RNA", at positions 29 to 521 of the family's 1533-position model. The record is from RNAcentral.